Long non-coding RNA from Solanum tuberosum (potato), 1024 nucleotides. RefSeq lists it as uncharacterized. Lineage: Eukaryota; Viridiplantae; Streptophyta; Magnoliopsida; Solanales; Solanaceae. The transcript is spliced from 2 exons. The record is from RefSeq and is a predicted model, not a curated record.
AAUACAUACACAUACCAAAUCGACCCGACCCCUGCACGUUCUUCUUCACGCGAAGAAACUCAAAUCGCAGUACAGUACCCAGCGACCCCACCCUGUACGCCAACGUCUAUUUCUCCAGCAAGCAGCGUCCAAAUCCCAGCAAAUCCGAAAAAACAGUGGCACUUGCAGCAGCAAUCACGUCGCCAUCCCCUUUUUCCCUCUUUUCGGGGAUUUCUGAAUCUCUUCCACUAUUGCCUUGAAAAGAGCAAAGAGAAUUCGAAUUUUGAAUUCAAAAUCAUCCGAAUUUUCUGCCCGUUUCCUUCUCAAUUCAGCCUAAAAAUACCCCUGCUCUUUCAGUGUUAAGGAGGGGGAGGGAAGACAAUAAUUACUCACUGAAUAUGGAGGAAUAGGUUUCUAUUUAUUUUCGUUCGCCGCUUACUGAAAUUCAUCGGAGCUUUGUCGGAAUCUCACUUGUGGUGGUGAUAUCGCUCGUUUCAGCUCAUGGUUUCAGUCGCUGCGCCGAAAAAGGACUGCAUUCAAGUCGGCAAUCAUGUGAUUGUUUUCUUGUUAAGUUUUGAAGAUGUUGGAAUAUAGUUUUGCUAAUAUUUCAAUAUUUAAAAUAGGUCACAAGAGUUGUGUUGUGCUCUAAUAUUAAAUAUACUUUUUUAAAUGGCAUGUAUUACUACUCUCAUUUGUUUGAUUACAAGAUAAUAUUUUCUUGCCUCUUUUAAAUAUGUUCCAUGGAUUUCUUAUCAAUAAGGCCUGUUACUUUCUUAAAAUAAAAUUGCUAAUAGUCCUUAUUUUUUGCUUUGUUUUGUUUUUCUCCUGGGAAAUCUAUCAACCAAGUCUCUUGGACUCUAUUGUCCACAUCCGUGUUGCAUUUUGAGUCGGCCUUCAUCCCUGUUUGAAUUUCGGAAGCUGAAACAGUUGAAAGAGGAGUUGCAUUACAGGUCCCAAAGGCUGAAAACAGGCUGAAAUACAUCAUGUAUACACUGAUAUACAUAUCAGUGCAACAAAUACGUGACUAAAAACGGAAAUACAGGUC